This 347-nucleotide unclassified non-coding RNA is filed under the name soil metagenome. RNAcentral's name for it is "partial contains 5.8S ribosomal RNA, internal transcribed spacer 2, and large subunit ribosomal RNA". The stretch from base 1 to 119 matches the Rfam family "5.8S ribosomal RNA", at positions 35 to 154 of the family's 154-position model. The record is from RNAcentral.
GAUGAAAACGCAGCGAAAUGCGAUAAGUAAUGUGAAUUGCAGAAUUCAGUGAAUCAUCGAAUCUUUGAACGCACAUCGCGCCCGCCAGUAUUCUGGCGGGCAUGCCUGUCUGAGCGUCAUUUCAACCCUCAUGCCCCUAGGGCGUGGUGUUGGGGAUCGGCCAAAGCCCGCGAGGGACGGCCGGCCCCUAAAUCUAGUGGCGGACCCGUCGUGGCCUCCUCUGCGAAGUAGUGAUAUUCCGCAUCGGAGAGCGAUGAGCCCCUGCCGUUAAACCCCCAACUUCCCAAGGUUGACCUCAGAUCAGGUAGGAAUACCCGCUGAACUUAAGCAUAUCAAUAAGCGGAGGA